This 253-nucleotide ribosomal RNA is filed under the name uncultured bacterium. RNAcentral's name for it is "partial 16S ribosomal RNA". It matches the Rfam family "Bacterial small subunit ribosomal RNA", at positions 524 to 776 of the family's 1533-position model. The record is from RNAcentral.
GACGAACCGUACGAGCGUUAUUCGGAAUCACUGGGCUUAAAGGGUGCGUAGGCGGCGCAGAAAGUUGGGUGUGAAAUCCCUCGGCUCAACCGAGGAACUGCGCCCAAAACUACUGUGCUCGAGGGAGACAGAGGUGAGCGGAACUUAGGGUGGAGCGGUGAAAUGCGUUGAUAUCCUAAGGAACACCGGUGGCGAAAGCGGCUCACUGGGUCUCUUCUGACGCUGAGGCACGAAAGCUAGGGUAGCGAACGGG